Long non-coding RNA from Episyrphus balteatus (marmalade hoverfly), 1078 nucleotides. RefSeq lists it as uncharacterized. The transcript is spliced from 4 exons. NCBI's taxonomy places the organism in Eukaryota, Metazoa, Arthropoda, Insecta, Diptera, Syrphidae. The record is from RefSeq and is a predicted model, not a curated record.
GUGCUAGUUGGAAGAUGAUCUACAAUUCUCUUUGCAAUAAAUUCUCAAUUUUUAAUUUCAUUGCCGAUUGUUGUGCCUAUAAAUUUUGAUGGAAUUUUGUUUGUCAUUCAAAUUUUAUCCGAUUAGCUAGAUGCUCAACAACUGGAAUGUUGCUGCUUCGUAGAUUUCACUUCGAUGUGUGCCCUGUACUCGAGGCAAAGAUAGAUUAACACUCUCACGGAGUAGUUCAGUGCCAAAAAAUCCAAUUUAAUGAAAAGAUUCAUCACUUAACGAAAAAUUUCAUACUCAUUUUAAAGAAUAAAAAUAACAAUUUUUUCCUUACUUUAUUAAAAUUUUAAUUAAGUAAUGAAAAAUUUCAUCAACUUAUGAAAUUCAACAUUAACUAACGAAAAUCUUCAUCGAUCUAUGAAAAUAAAUUAUUGGGUUAUGAAAUUCUUCAUAGACUUAUGAAAUUUUACAUCGGCUUAUGAAAAAAUACAUAAGGCAGACUAACGAAAAAAUGCAUACAGAGCACACUUUAUUUUCGUUUUUUGUGUGCAUUCAUAUUCAACCCCGCAAGUGCGCAGUGAAGUGAAAAAGUUCAAAAUAAAGUAGUAAAGGUAAGAUUGAUAAAUUAUUUACAAUAAUUAUAACUAUAAACUAGCUCGCUAUAAUUUUGAUUAUGAUUCAUCUUUUCAAAGGGAACAAAAGGUGUGUCAACGUUUACAAAAUUAUGGAAAAGGUACAUUUUCACCCGUAGAUACUACAACACUAUCCCCAACGGAGAUAACAUCGAAUGUAUGCUGAAAAAAUGGAGAGAAUCGGAAUUUAUAUAGAAAAAGGCCAGUUAUUGAACUUCAAAAACAGACAUUCUUCAAGAUCUGUUCAAAGUCCCACCACGAGCAAUAUAUCGUCACCAUUACCAAAAUAUCCAAAUUUAAGUCUUGGAAGAGUGGAUGACCAAUUAGUUUCUGGAAAAUUCCAAAGAUGUCAUCCUAAUGUACCAUAUGGAUGGGUACUUAAUCCCGACCCAAAGAACAAAAAAGGAAUUCUGUGAAGAAGAAGAUACAUAUAAUGUAUUAUUGAAAUUUUUCUGUGU